AUUGAACGCUGGCGGCAUGCCUUACACAUGCAAGUCGAACGGCAGCGGGCCUUCGGGUGCCGGCGAGUGGCGAACGGGUGAGUAAUGCAUCGGAACGUGCCAUUGAGUGGGGGGAUAACGUAGCGAAAGUUGCGCUAAUACCGCAUAUUCUGUGAGCAGGAAAGCAGGGGACCGCAAGGCCUUGCGCUCUUUGAGCGGCCGAUGUCAGAUUAGCUAGUUGGUGAGGUAAAGGCUUACCAAGGCGACGAUCUGUAGCGGGUCUGAGAGGAUGAUCCGCCACACUGGAACUGAGGCACGGUCCAGACUCCUACGGGAGGCAGCAGUGGGGAAUUUUGGACAAUGGGGGCAACCCUGAUCCAGCCAUGCCGCGUGAGUGAAGAAGGCCUCGGUUG
Molecule: ribosomal RNA, 392 nt
Filed under: uncultured bacterium
Lineage: Bacteria
Description: bacterial SSU rRNA
Rfam family: Bacterial small subunit ribosomal RNA
Source: RNAcentral